ACGAGGUAUUCAUACCCCAAACCACGCGAACAUACCUGAACUGUUGCUUCGGCGGGCGGCCCCUGGGAGGGGCCUGUGUCUUCGUGGCGCCCGCCGCAAGCCCUGGGGGCUCUCUAUUUACUCUCUUUAGUGGACAAUCUGAGUGGCGAGGAAAUGAAUCA
Molecule: unclassified non-coding RNA, 161 nt
Filed under: soil metagenome
Description: partial internal transcribed spacer 1
Source: RNAcentral